Molecule: unclassified non-coding RNA, 1186 nt
Filed under: Hevea brasiliensis (rubber tree)
Lineage: Eukaryota; Viridiplantae; Streptophyta; Magnoliopsida; Malpighiales; Euphorbiaceae
Source: RNAcentral
UCCCAAGUGGAACAGCCGCCUCAAGUGCAAUCUCUAUUACCAUAGGACAAACUACUUCAUUUUGAUAGUGCUCGUUCCCGAUAAGCAAAGAAGCACCAGCUAAUUGUGAAUUAAAUUUUUGUUUUUGGAUGGGAAUUUAUCUCCUUAAGCUUAAUUAGGAGUUUAUUUGUAUUUUGGUUUCAGGGUUUGCAUGUGUCUCACAAGGCCUAUGGCUAUUCUUGCUGCUGCUUUGACAGCUUUAAGCAUUGCUUUUCUCAAUGAUAGUUAUGCUACUUUCAUGAUGUGAAUCUGGUUGUUUAUGGUAUUUUGCAGGGCUAAUGCUUCAAUUGUAUCGUUUUCCUCUUUCUGGUUUCAAACUGGGUUAUUGAUAGCCGAUAAACUCAUCCCACGCUUUGCUUUUGUUUUCUAUAAUGACUUCAGUAUUCUAAAAUUUCUUGAAUAUUGUAUUGAAGGAUGGUAAUCAUUUAUAUAACUCUUGUGGUAACCUGGAUUUCCCUCCAAAGUUAGGUUGAAUUGGGUAUAUCUUCAUGCUAUAUGACAAAUUGAUUUUGUUUUUGCAUGUCAAAACAACCAGAGACAUGAGCUUUAGAAACAUCCGAGUUGUUAUUCUUGUAUCAUAGAACGUGUAGGCAUGUAAAUUCUCAAGGAUUAUAUCAUUGAAGGCUCAUGCUUAAAGCUGAUGUAGAAACUUGUAAAUUUUCUGUGAACUAGUCAAUAAAAAGUUGGUUUCUUUAGUUUCAUAACAUUGGUUUACUUUCCAGCUUGUAAUCUAACUAUGAGACAAACAUAGGCUAUCUUACUUGCAAUCAAGAAAUCACAUUAUCAGUGACAGAGAGAAGCAUGGAGAAAACAAUUCAACAAGUAUAUUAUUAGGAACUAUGUAUUUACUUUAUCAGAUGUCCUUUCUCGUGAUGCUUCUUCCGAUGAGGCAACAACAAAGAUUAUUUUGUUUUCUUUGUUGCAUGCAUCUUAGGGAAAAUCAUGUGUUCUAUUCCUCUUGAAUUUGCCAUGCUACUUUUAAAGCAAGGAAGUUAAUCUAUUAACCCCACCCCUUUACCUGGCACAUGGGAUGUGCAUAUCACUUCAUUUUGUUCUGAAUAUAUGCAGUGGAUAAAAUAACUGUUCAUAACUUGGUGCUAAAGAUUUAUUUUGCAGUUUUGCAGCUACUUUCAGUGAAAAGGUAACA